RNAcentral lists this long non-coding RNA (2226 nucleotides) under Homo sapiens (human). Its description in RNAcentral is "HSALNT0202322". Lineage: Eukaryota; Metazoa; Chordata; Mammalia; Primates; Hominidae. The record is from RNAcentral.
CUCCACUCAGUCAUCACCCAGGGACUAGGACUAAUAUAAUGAUUCUGUCAUUCUCAACAGGAAGCUUCCACCUCUGGCUCCGGUGCAGCUGCAUCAGUUAUUGCCAAUUAUUAACUAAAGAUAAGGGGCAAACAGAGAGAGGAGCCAAGCUAAGUUUCUUCAAGGGAGAAUCUAGAAAUAACAUCCAUUACUUUUCAUACACUACUGAUGGGAAUUCAGACACAUGGCCACACUUGGUUGCAAGAGAGGCUGGGAAUUCAACUCCGCAGGAUGUCCAUAUGACUCUUUAAAACUCACAAGUUUCUGCUACUGAAAGGAAGAAAGGGAACAUGGAUAUUUCAAAACAAAAGACUUUAGCACAGGUAUGUCUUUAACAGCAGUGUGAAAAUGAACUAAUACAGUAAAUUGGUACCAGUAGAGUGAGGCACUGCUUAAAAGAUACUUGAAAAUGUGGAAGUGACUUUGGAACUGGGUAACAGGCAGAGGUUUGAACAGUUUGGAGGGCUCAGAAGACAGGAAAAUGUGGGAAAGUUUGGAACUCCCUACAGACUUGUUGAAUGGCUUUCCUCAAAAUGAUGAUAGCAAUAUGGACAAUAAAGUCUGUGUUGAGAUGUCUCAGAUAGAGAUUGAGAACUUGUUGGGAACUGGAGUAAAGAUGACUCUUGUUAUGUUUUAGCAAAGAGACUGGUAGCAUUUUGCCCCUGCCCUAGAGAUCUGUGGAACUUUUAACUUGAGAGAGAUGAUUUAGGGUAUCUGGAGAAUAAAACUUCUAAGCAGCAAAGCAUUUAAGAGGCAAGUUGGGUGCUGUUAAAGGCAUUCAGUUUUAUAAGGGAAGCAGAUCACAAAAGUUUGGAAACUUUGCAGCCUGGCAAUGCAAUAGAAAAGAAAAUCUCAUUUUCUGAGGUGAAAUUAAAGCUGGCUGCAGAAAUUUACAUGUUACAAGGAGCCGAAUAUUAAUCCCCAAAACAAUGGGGAAAAUGCCUCCAGGACAUUUCAGAGGUCUUCACAGCAGGUGCUCCCAUCACAGGCCUGGAGGCCCAGGAGGAAAAAGUGGUUUCAUGGUCCGGGCCUAGGGUCCCCAUGCUGUGUGCAGCCUAUGGACUUGGUACCCUAUGUCCCAGCUGCUCCAGCCAUGGCUGAAAGGAGCCAACAUACAGCUUGGGCUGUGGCUUCAGAGGGUAGAAGCCCAAACCUUGCCAGAUUCCAUGUUUUGUUGAGCCUGCAGGUGUGCAGAAGUCAAGAAUUGAGGUUUGGGAACCUCUGUCUAGAUUUCAAAUGCUGUAUGGAAAUGCCUGGAUACCCAGGCAGUUUGCUGCAGGGGCGGGGCCCUCAUGGAGAACCUCUGCUAGGGUAGUGCAGAAGGGAGAUGUGGGGUUGAAGUCCCCACACAGAGUCCCUACUGGGGCACCACCUAGUGGGUUGUGAGAAGAGGGCCACAGUCCUCCAGACCCCAGAAUGGUAGAUUCACCAACAGCCUGCAUCAUCCACCUGGAAAAGCCAUGGACACUCAACGCCAGUCCAUGAAAGCAGCUGGAGGGAGGCUGUACCUUGCAAAGCCACAGGAUCAGAGCUGCCCAAGACCAUGGGAACCCACCUCUUGCAUCAGCAUGACCCAGAUGUGAGACAGGAGUCAAAGGAGAUCAUUUGGGAACUUUAAGAUUUGACUGCCUUGCUGGAUUUUGGACUUGUAAUGGGUCCAUAGCCCCUCUGUUUUGGCCAAUUUCUCCCAUUUGGAACUGCUGUAUUUACCCAAUGCCUAUACCACCCUGUAUCUAGGAAGUAACUAGCUUGCUUUUGAUUUUACAAGCUUGUAGGAGGAAGGGACUUGCCUUGUCUCAGAUGAGACUUUGCACUGUGGACUUUUGAGUUAAUGCUGAAAUGAGUGAAGACUUUGGGGGCCUGUUGGGAAGGCAUGAUUGGUUUUGAAAUGUAAGGAUAUGAGAUUUGGGAGGGGCCAGGGGCAAAAUGAUAUGGUUUGGUUCUGUGUCCCCACCCAAAUGUCAUCUUGAAUGGUAACUCUCACAAUUCCCAUGUGUCAUGGGAGGGACCCAGUGGGAGGUAACUGAAUCAUGAGGGCAGGUCUUUCUCAUGCUGUUCUCGUGAUAGUGAAUAAGUCUCAUGGGAUCUGAUGGUUUUAUUAAAAAAAGUUGCCCUGUACAAGUUCUCUCUCUUUGCCUACCACCAUCCAUUUAAGAUGUGACUUGCUCCUCUUUGCCUUCUGCCGUG